Molecule: long non-coding RNA, 1428 nt
Filed under: Gopherus agassizii (Agassiz's desert tortoise)
Lineage: Eukaryota; Metazoa; Chordata; Testudines; Testudinidae
Description: lncRNA (ENSGAGG00000013843.1)
Source: RNAcentral
UGCAAUCCCUCUACUUGCUGGCAGUUGCAGGAGAAGAUUGCUUUUAAGUGAAACGUCCCUGCCAUCUCUCUGAGGUUUCAUCCCCCUUAAUAGUGUCCUGCCCUUAAGUUUCAGAGCUCCUUUUGCGAGCGCUGGGGGUGGGGGCACGAGAGAUUUACAGUCCAGAAGAAUCGCUGGCAUGUAUAUUUCAUCCGACGGACUUUCCAUGUGUCUCAUCUCCCUGCCAUCAACGCUAUAUGCAGUGAGACUUCUGACUUGAGCAGAGGAAUGCGCGGAGGAAGCUCCGGCGAAACUGGUAGGAGAGGAUCUCCUCGGCGCCAGUGCUAAUUGUCGUGAUUUAUGUCCCCGCCGAGUACCUUCCACGGCUUCAUCUAAAAUAAAACCAAAGCUGGGGCCAGCCAGGAGCGCAGCCUUUGCAGAGUGUCUCGUCGCGGAGAGCCAGGGAACGUCCUGCAGCUUCCCGGAGCCCCAGUAAAAGUUUAAUGCAAAGAAGUGGCUCAAACAGACGGGAGACCCAGCGGGGCAGGCAGGAAACCCUGAGCGGUUGCUGCUGACUUGUUCCAGGGGGAGCGUGGGUCCUGGCUCCCCUUCUCUGAUCCGCCGGUCGCUGAGCUUUGCGGUGGAGCCAGAGGUGUUCCUCCCCCUUCGCCCCGGGGCGAGCUCCGCGGGGCAGCUCCAGGGCAGUCUGCAGUUCCCGGGGCAGGGGCGGAGAAGGGGGCUGCAACCUGCCGGCUGGCGGGGGCUGCUCUUCUCCAGCCCUUGAACUCUUCGGCGUUACCAGGAACUUUUGUUGGGCGUGCGGCACACGCCUGCCAGGCUCCCCUCGGCUGGGGGACUGGGCACGGCGGGCGGAGCAGCUUCCCACCCCUGCGCCGCUGGCUCCCAUGCUCCUGCUGCCGGAGGGGGAUGAGGCUGGCAAGGUCCCAGGCAGCGCAGUGUCCGUUCUCCUCCCCGCUCUAACGAGAGGGAUUGCUCCGCAUGGAUGUUGGUGCCAGAAGAAAAGAAUGAUUGAUGGGAAACAGACACCAGGCUAUAGACACUCAUCCUUUUGCUUCAGAUGCUGAUUUAUCAGUGCGUCUAGGUAUCCCUUGUGAGCUUUGAACACGGAGGAUCACUCGGGGUUAUCAACAGUACAAGUGAAGACCUACAGCUUUGCUAAAUUAGUAUCUGCUCUCGGAUAUCUUUUACAAAAAGCCCUGAUAGACACAUGAUAAGACAAAGGACAAGCUUCAGAUUUCUGUGAAAAGCUGUUCUUUGAAUAUAUUAGGCUUCCGCCAAAGUCUUCAACUUAGCAAAGCAAGUACCGUACUCAACGUUUCACGUUCAGUUGUGGAAUCUGUUUUAUAAGAUACAUACAUAAAUAUACGUGUACAUAUAUUUAUCAUCUAUAGACUAUCAUUAAAUCAAUACUGGUUAUAAUUAUCAAGG